GGAAUUGUAGCUCAGUGGUAAAGUGCUUACCUAUCAUGUGUGAGGCACUGGGUUUGAUUCUCAGCACCA
Molecule: transfer RNA, 69 nt
Filed under: Marmota monax (woodchuck)
Lineage: Eukaryota; Metazoa; Chordata; Mammalia; Rodentia; Sciuridae
Description: tRNA.Asp
Source: RNAcentral